UCCUCUGUGGCGCAAUUGGCUAGCGCGUCUGACUGUUAUUCUGACAACAGAAUCAAUCAGGAGGUUGGAAGUUCGAGCCUUCCCGGAGGAG
Podospora fimiseda is the source of this 91-nucleotide non-coding RNA. The record is from the annotation of a GenBank genome assembly. Lineage: Eukaryota; Fungi; Ascomycota; Sordariomycetes; Sordariales; Podosporaceae.